GCCUGGGUGGCUCAGUCGGUUGAGCGUCUGACUUUGAUUCAGGUCAUGAUCUUGUGGUUUGUGAGUUGGAGUCCCGUAUCAGGCU
This is a transfer RNA of Felis catus (domestic cat), 85 nucleotides long. It matches the Rfam family "tRNA". From Rfam's summary of the family: Transfer RNA (tRNA) molecules are approximately 80 nucleotides in length. Their secondary structure includes four short double-helical elements and three loops (D, anti-codon, and T loops). NCBI's taxonomy places the organism in Eukaryota, Metazoa, Chordata, Mammalia, Carnivora, Felidae. The record is from Rfam.